UACGUAGGCAGCGAGCGUUGUUCGGAGUUACUGGGCGUAAGAGUGCGUAGGCGGUGUUCCAAGUCUGUUGUGAAAUCUCCACGCUCAACGUGGAGGGCCAUUCGAAACUGCCGUGACUCGAGUCCGGUAGGGGAGUGGUAGGUCAAUUCCGGUGUAGCGGUGAAAUGCGCAGAUAUCGGGAGGAACACCAGUAGCGGAAGGCGGCA
Molecule: ribosomal RNA, 206 nt
Filed under: uncultured bacterium
Lineage: Bacteria
Description: partial 16S ribosomal RNA
Rfam family: Bacterial small subunit ribosomal RNA
Source: RNAcentral